UGCAGCUAGCGAGGUAACGGAGCGGCGAACGGCUCAGUAAGACAGAUGGAUCUGACCACUAAGAAGGAUAACCACGGGAAACUGAGGCUAAUACUAUAUUGGGUGAACAUCUGACCUAUCAGCUUGUCGGUAUGGUAAUUGCAUACCGUGGCUACAACGGGUAACGGGGAAUCGGGGUUUGAUUCCGGAGAGGGAGCCUGAGAGAUGGCUGCCACGUCCAAGGACGGCAGCAGGCGCGAAACUUACCCACUUGGAGGACCAGAGGUAGUGACGAGGCGUAUAAAUGAAUUUACAGUAAACAAGUAAAUGAAAGCGACUGGAGGGCAAGUCUGGUGCCAGCAUCCGCGGUAAUAGAGAUUGCACAAUAAAUUAGUGUAAGAUCGACUGGAGGGCAAGUCUGGUGCCAGCAUCCGCGGUA
RNAcentral lists this ribosomal RNA (418 nucleotides) under Microsporidium sp. group A. RNAcentral describes it as "SSU rRNA". The stretch from base 1 to 365 matches the Rfam family "Microsporidia small subunit ribosomal RNA", at positions 51 to 422 of the family's 1311-position model. Lineage: Eukaryota; Fungi; Microsporidia. The record is from RNAcentral.